Molecule: ribosomal RNA, 253 nt
Filed under: uncultured bacterium
Lineage: Bacteria
Description: partial 16S ribosomal RNA
Rfam family: Bacterial small subunit ribosomal RNA
Source: RNAcentral
UACAGAGGUCUCAAGCGUUGUUCGGAUUCAUUGGGCGUAAAGGGUGCGUAGGUGGCGCCGUAAGUCAGGUGUGAAAUUUCGGAGCUUAACUCCGAAACUGCAUUUGAUACUGCGGUGCUUGAGGACUGGAGAGGAUACUGGAAUUUACGGUGUAGCAGUGAAAUGCGUAGAUAUCGUGAGGAACACCAGAGGCGAAGGCGACUUCCUGGACAAUUGCUGACGCUCAGGCACGAAAGCGUGGGGAGCCAAAGGG